Molecule: ribosomal RNA, 907 nt
Filed under: uncultured bacterium
Lineage: Bacteria
Description: bacterial SSU rRNA
Rfam family: Bacterial small subunit ribosomal RNA
Source: RNAcentral
AGAGUUUGAUCCUGGCUCAGGGUUAACGCUGGCGGCGUGCCUUACACAUGCAAGUCGAACGGGGCUAUCAGCGAUGGUAGCUUAGUGGCGAACGGGUGAGGAAGACGCAGGGACCUACCGACCAGAGGGGGAUACCCGCUGGAAACGGCGGAUAAAACCGCAUACGCCCGGGUGAAAGCCCGGGGAAAAGCACUACGGUGUUACUGGACGAGGGACCUGCGGCCCAUCAGGUAGUUGGGGAGGUAACGGCUCACCAAGCCGACGACGGGUAUCUGGCGUGAGAGCGCGAACAGGCACAAGGACACUGAGAGACGGGUCCUACUCCUACGGGAGGCAGCAGUGGGGAAUAUUGGACAAUGGGCGAAAGCCUGAUCCAGCGACGCCGCGUGUCGGAAGGAGUCCUUCGGGAUGUAAACGACUUUUGGUGGAGACGAAUAAGCAGCUCAGGGAAUGGGGCUGUGAUGACGGUAUCCAUGGAAUAAGCCCCGGCUAACUACGUGCCAGCAGCCGCGGUAAGACGUAGGGGGCAAGCGUUACCCGGAAUUACUGGGCGUAAAGGGAGCGUAGGCGGGAGGUCAGGUCCGGUGUGAAAGACCCUGGCUCAACCAGGGAUGAGGGCUGGAAACUGACAAUCUUGAGUACAGCAGAGGAAGAGGGAAUUACCGGUGUAGGGGUGAAAUCCGUAGAGACCGGUAAGAAGGCCAGUGGCGAAAGCGCUUUUCUGGGCUGUUACUGACGCUGAGGCUCGAAAGCCAGGGGAGCAAACCGGAUUAGAUACCCGGGUAGUCCUGGCCGUAAACGAUGCUCACUAGUGUGGGGCGCAUAGCGUGCUCUGCGCUGAAGCAACGCAAUAAGUGAGCCGCCUGGGGAGUACGUCCGCAAGGAUGAAACUCAAAUGAAUUGACGG